Molecule: ribosomal RNA, 422 nt
Filed under: Campylobacter coli
Lineage: Bacteria; Pseudomonadati; Campylobacterota; Epsilonproteobacteria; Campylobacterales; Campylobacteraceae
Description: partial 23S ribosomal RNA
Rfam family: Bacterial large subunit ribosomal RNA
Source: RNAcentral
AAAGGUAAGCUACUAAGAGCGAAUGGUGGAUGCCUUGACUGGUAAAGGCGAUGAAGGACGUACUAGACUGCGAUAAGCUACGGGGAGCUGUCAAGAAGCUUUGAUCCGUAGAUUUCCGAAUGGGGCAACCCAAUGUAUAGAGAUAUACAUUACCUAUAUAGGAGCGAACGAGGGGAAUUGAAACAUCUUAGUACCCUCAGGAAAAGAAAUCAAUAGAGAUUGCGUCAGUAGCGGCGAGCGAAAGCGCAAGAGGGCAAACCCAGUGCUUGCACUGGGGGUUGUAGGACUGCAAUGUGCAAGAGGUAAGUUUAGCAGAACAUUCUGGAAAGUAUAGCCAUAGAGGGUGAUAGUCCCGUAUGCGAAAAACAAACCUUAGCUAGCAGUAUCCUGAGUAGGGCGGGACACGAGGAAUCCUGUCUGAA